AUUGAACGCUGGCGGCAGGCCUAACACAUGCAAGUCGAGCGAGAAAGGUCUUCGGACUGAGUACAGCGGCGGACGGGUGAGUAAUGCGCAGGAAUCUACCUGGUAGUGGGGGAUAACUCGGGGAAACUCGAACUAAUACCGCAUACGCCUACGGGGAAAGGACGGGGACCGUUCGGGCCGUCGCGCUAUCAGAUGAGCCUGCGUAGGAUUAGCUUGUUGGUGAGGUAAAGGCUCACCAAGGCGACGAUCCUUAGCUGGUCUGAGAGGAGUGAUCAGCCACCACUGGAACUGAGACACGGUCCAGACUCCUACGGGAGGCAGCAGUGGGGAAUAUUGCGCAAUGGGCGAAAGCCUGACGCAGCCAUGCCGCGUGUGUGAAGAA
Molecule: ribosomal RNA, 382 nt
Filed under: uncultured bacterium
Lineage: Bacteria
Description: bacterial SSU rRNA
Rfam family: Bacterial small subunit ribosomal RNA
Source: RNAcentral